GAUGAACGCUGGCGGCGUGCUUAACACAUGCAAGUCGAACGAAGCACCUCUCCCGAAGAUUGACACAGCUUGCUGUAGAUUGAUUCAUUUGAGGUGACUGAGUGGCUGACGGGUGAGUAACGCGUGGGUAACCUGCCUCAUAGAGGGGGACAACAGUUGGAAACGACUGCUAAUACCGCAUAGUAAGAAGAAUUCGCAUGUUUUCUUCUUGAAAGUUUUAUCGCUAUGAGAUGGACCCGCGUCUGAUUAGCUAGUUGGUAAGGUAACGGCUUACCAAGGCGACGAUCAGUAGCCGGCUUGAGAGAGUGAACGGCCACAUUGAGACUGAGACACGGCCCAAACUCCUACGGGAAGCAGCAGUGGGGAAUAUUGCACAAUGGGGGAAACCCUGAUGCAGCGACGCCGCGUGAGUGAAGAAGUAUUGCGGUAUGUAAAGCUAUAUCAGCAGGGAAGAUAAUGACGGUACCUGACGAAGAAGCCCCGGCUAACUACGUG
Molecule: ribosomal RNA, 495 nt
Filed under: uncultured bacterium
Lineage: Bacteria
Description: partial 16S ribosomal RNA
Rfam family: Bacterial small subunit ribosomal RNA
Source: RNAcentral